ACUCAAAGGAAUAGACGGGGGCCCGCACAAGCAGUGGAGUAUGUGGUUUAAUUCGACGCAACGCGAAGAACCUUACCAGGGCUUGACAUCCUCUGACGGCUGUAGAGAUACAGCUUCUCUUCGGAGCAGAGAGACAGGUGGUGCAUGGUUGUCGUCAGCUCGUGUCGUGAGAUGUUGGGUUAAGUCCCGCAACGAGCGCAACCCUUAUUGCCAGUUGCCAGCAUUCAGUUGGGCACUCUGGCGAGACUGCCGUGGAUAACACGGAGGAAGGUGGGGACGACGUCAAAUCAUCAUGCCCCUUAUGUCCUGGGCUACACACGUACUACAAUGGCAACAACAGAAAGCAGCGAAACCGCGAGGUGAAGCGAAUCUCCAAAUGUUGUCUCAGUUCAGAUUGCAGGCUGCAACUCGCCUGCAUGAAGUCGGAAUUGCUAGUAAUGGCAGGUCAGCAUACUGCCGUGAAUACGUUCCCGGGCCUUGCACACACCGCCCGU
This 494-nucleotide ribosomal RNA is filed under the name uncultured bacterium. Its description in RNAcentral is "bacterial SSU rRNA". It matches the Rfam family "Bacterial small subunit ribosomal RNA", at positions 899 to 1397 of the family's 1533-position model. The record is from RNAcentral.